UGGACCCUGGGUCUAGCCAGUGUCCCUACCUCAGGCCUGCUCUCUCUUGUCCCCCACCUUCUGUCCUGUCCCCUUCCCAUCCAUCCACUUCUUCCAGACACAGCAGGAAGAGGCCCUCUGAAGGGGCCGCUGGCCCCCAGACACCAUCCUCACCCCCCCACCGACCCCGCAGUUUGUCCAGCUGUUCUGUUGUGUUUGUCCUGACUGCCCCAACACCUCAAGGGGGGUCUGGGCUGACGGCUCCAUUUCCUCCCCAGGAGCCAAGACCAAGGAGAAUGUUGUACAGAGCGUGACCUCAGUGGCCGAGAAGACUAAGGAGCAGGCCAACGCCGUGAGCGAGGCUGUGGUGAACAGCGUCAACACUGUGGCCACGAAGACCGUGGAGGAGGCAGAGAACAUCGCAGUCACCUCCGGGGUGGUGCGCAAGGAGGACUUGAAGCCAUCUGCCCCCCAACAGGAGGGUGAGGCAGCCAAAGAGAAAGAGGAAGUGGCAGAGGAGGCCCAGAGUGGGGGAGACUAGAGGGCUACAGGCCAGCGCAAAUGCCCUGAAGAGCGCUCCUCUGCCUUGGACACCAUCCCCUCCUAGCACAAAGAGUGCCCGCCUUGAGUGACCUGCGGCUGCCCACGCUCCUGCCCUUGUCUCCCUGGCCACCCUUGGCCUGUCCACCUGUGCUGCUGCACCAACCUCACUGCCCUCCCUGGGCCCUGCCUACCCUCUCGUCCUUCUGACCCCACAUAUGCUGCUGUGAAUUUUUUUUUUUAAUGAUUCCAAAUAAAACUUGAGCCCACUCCU
This 793-nucleotide small RNA is filed under the name Pongo abelii (Sumatran orangutan). Its description in RNAcentral is "processed transcript". The record is from RNAcentral. Lineage: Eukaryota; Metazoa; Chordata; Mammalia; Primates; Hominidae.